GCAAGUCGAGCGGGAUCCAUCCAGUGGCAACACUGGGGAAGACCUAGCGGCGAACGGGUGAGUAACACGUGAGAAACCUGCCCCGAAGUUCGGGAUAACUCGAGGAAACUCGAGAUAACACCGGAUGCCCUCUUCCAGUCGCAUGGCCGGAUGAGGAAAGAUUCAUCGCUUCGGGAGGGUCUCGCGACCGAUCAGCUAGUUGGCGGGGUAACGGCCCACCAAGGCAUCGACGGGUAGCGGGUCUGAGAGGACGAUC
This 256-nucleotide ribosomal RNA is filed under the name uncultured bacterium. RNAcentral's name for it is "partial 16S ribosomal RNA". It matches the Rfam family "Bacterial small subunit ribosomal RNA", at positions 57 to 305 of the family's 1533-position model. The record is from RNAcentral.